This is a non-coding RNA of Triticum aestivum (bread wheat), 135 nucleotides long. NCBI's taxonomy places the organism in Eukaryota, Viridiplantae, Streptophyta, Magnoliopsida, Poales, Poaceae. The record is from Rfam.
UUUGUACUCCCUCCGUCCGAAAAUACUUGUCAUCAAAAUGGAUAAAAUGGGAUGUAUCUAGACAUAUUUUAGUUCUAGAUACAUCUCUAUUCAUCCAUUUUGAUGACAAGUAUUUUCGGACGGAGGGAGUAACUG